UACUCGAGUGGCGAACGGGUGAGUAACACGUGGGUGAUCUGCCCUGCACUUCGGGAUAAGCUUGGGAAACUGGGUCUAAUACCGGAUAGGAGCCAUCUUUAGUGUGGUGGUUGGAAAGUUUUUUCGGUGUAGGAUGAGCUCGCGGCCUAUCAGCUUGUUGGUAGGGUAAUAGCCUACCAAGGCGGCGACGGGUAGCCGGCCUGAGAGGGUGUACGGCCACAUUGGGACUGAGAUACGGCCCAG
This 243-nucleotide ribosomal RNA is filed under the name uncultured Actinomycetales bacterium. RNAcentral's name for it is "partial 16S ribosomal RNA". It matches the Rfam family "Bacterial small subunit ribosomal RNA", at positions 88 to 334 of the family's 1533-position model. The record is from RNAcentral. Lineage: Bacteria; Bacillati; Actinomycetota; Actinomycetes; Actinomycetales.